CCUACGGGAGGCUGCACUAGGGAAUCUUUCACAAUGGGCGAAAGCCUGAUGGAGCAACGCCGCGUGCAGGAUGAAGGCCUUCGGGUUGUAAACCUCUUUUGUCGGGGAGCAAAGCGAACCACGUGUGGUUCAUUGAGAGUACCCGAAGAAAAAGCAUCGGCUAACUCCGUGCCAGCAGCCGCGGUAAUACGGAGGAUGCGAGCGUUAUCCGGAUUUAUUGGGUUUAAAGGGUGCGCAGGCGGAGGUUCAAGUCAGCGGUCAAAUCGCGGGGCUCAACCCCGUACUGCCGUUGAAACUGCAUCCCUUGAGUGCGCGAGAAGUAUGCGGAAUGCGUGGUGUAGCGGUGAAAUGCAUAGAUAUCACGCAGAACUCCGAUUGCGAAGGCAGCAUACCGGCGCGCAACUGACGCUCAUGCACGAAAGCGUGGGUAUCGAACAGGAUUAGAUACCCCAGUAGUC
This 458-nucleotide ribosomal RNA is filed under the name uncultured bacterium. RNAcentral's name for it is "partial 16S ribosomal RNA". It matches the Rfam family "Bacterial small subunit ribosomal RNA", at positions 338 to 795 of the family's 1533-position model. The record is from RNAcentral.